GUCCUAUCCUAGGGGUGAGACGCCGCAACCGACGGCGCCGGUGGUCGGAAAAGAGAGGAAAGGGCCCGGCCGAAACAGAGCAAAACAGGGGUUCACCUUGUUCAUGGAUUUUUCGAUGAUCCCGACGGCCGGUGAGGAUCUAAGCCAUGGGGAGAAAGGAAAGAGGGAGAGGAAGAAAAUUUGGAGCCUUACCUGAACUCCGGUGGCCUCUUCGACCAUCGAUUUCAGACGAACAUGAGAAGAGGCUGCCGCGGCUUCUACGGAGAAAAGGAGAGGAAUCAGGCUCGAAGAUCACUGGUGGAGGGUCUUG
Molecule: long non-coding RNA, 310 nt
Filed under: Elaeis guineensis (African oil palm)
Lineage: Eukaryota; Viridiplantae; Streptophyta; Magnoliopsida; Arecales; Arecaceae
Description: long non-coding RNA (EGUI_LNC069832)
Source: RNAcentral